RNAcentral lists this ribosomal RNA (465 nucleotides) under Vreelandella stevensii. RNAcentral's name for it is "partial 16S ribosomal RNA". It matches the Rfam family "Bacterial small subunit ribosomal RNA", at positions 338 to 795 of the family's 1533-position model. The record is from RNAcentral. Lineage: Bacteria; Pseudomonadati; Pseudomonadota; Gammaproteobacteria; Oceanospirillales; Halomonadaceae.
CCUACGGGGGGCUGCAGUGGGGAAUAUUGGACAAUGGGGGGAACCCUGAUCCAGCCAUGCCGCGUGUGUGAAGAAGGCCCUCGGGUUGUAAAGCACUUUCAGUGAGGAAGAACGCCUGGUGGUUAAUACCCAUCAGGAAAGACAUCACUCACAGAAGAAGCACCGGCUAACUCCGUGCCAGCAGCCGCGGUAAUACGGAGGGUGCGAGCGUUAAUCGGAAUUACUGGGCGUAAAGCGCGCGUAGGUGGCUUGAUAAGCCGGUUGUGAAAGCCCCGGGCUCAACCUGGGAACGGCAUCCGGAACUGUCAAGCUAGAGUGCAGGAGAGGAAGGUAGAAUUCCCGGUGUAGCGGUGAAAUGCGUAGAGAUCGGGAGGAAUACCAGUGGCGAAGGCGGCCUUCUGGACUGACACUGACACUGAGGUGCGAAAGCGUGGGUAGCAAACAGGAUUAGAUACCUUUGUAGUC